GGGCCAUUAGCUCAACAGGUAGAGCAACUGACUCUUAAUCAGUAGGUCGUAGGUUCGAGCCCUACAUGGCCCACCA
This 76-nucleotide transfer RNA is filed under the name Deltaproteobacteria bacterium. Its description in RNAcentral is "tRNA-Lys". It matches the Rfam family "tRNA". Rfam says of the family: Transfer RNA (tRNA) molecules are approximately 80 nucleotides in length. RNAcentral also lists the same sequence under 2 other names. Lineage: Bacteria; Pseudomonadati; Myxococcota; Myxococcia. The record is from RNAcentral.